ACCCAGGGUUUGAAACCCAUUCUACUACUGAUUAAAUGUAUGACCUUGGGCAAAUCACUUGACUUCAGUAUACAUUAGUUUCCUCAUCUGUAAAAUGGGCAUUAUAACAAUACCUACCCCCAAAGGGUGUGAGAAUCAAAU
RNAcentral lists this small nucleolar RNA (141 nucleotides) under Choloepus hoffmanni (Hoffmann's two-fingered sloth). RNAcentral describes it as "Small nucleolar RNA ACA59 (ENSCHOG00000016099.1)". The record is from RNAcentral. Lineage: Eukaryota; Metazoa; Chordata; Mammalia; Pilosa; Megalonychidae.